UACGGAGGGUGCAAGCGUUAUCCGGAUUUACUGGGUUUAAAGGGUGCGUAGGUGGGUCUGUAAGUCAGUGGUGAAAUCUCCGGGCUUAACCCGGAAAUUGCCAUUGAUACUAUAGGUCUUGAAUCAUCUGGAGGUAAGCGGAAUAUGUCAUGUAGCGGUGAAAUGCUUAGAUAUGACAUAGAACACCAAUUGCGAAGGCAGCUUACUACGGAUGUAUUGACACUGAGGCACGAAAGCAUGGGGAGCAAACAGG
Molecule: ribosomal RNA, 253 nt
Filed under: uncultured bacterium
Lineage: Bacteria
Description: partial 16S ribosomal RNA
Rfam family: Bacterial small subunit ribosomal RNA
Source: RNAcentral